AUGGAGGAUGCUGAAGGUGAAGGGGAAGGUGAAGAAGAGGCACGUGAUGAUCCCGUUGAUGAUCUUGGUCGGACCAUUGCUGAUGCACGGAGACGCUGCGAAACUGAAAAGGAGAGGGAGAAUUUGGAUCGCAUGUUAGAGGAUCACAGAAAGGCGCUGUACCCCGGAUGCGAUGAUGGUCUGAAAAAGCUGGGCUGCACACUGGAUUUGCUGAAAUGGAAGGCAGAGGCAGGUGUAGCUGACUCGGCAUUUGAAAACUUACUGAAAAUGUUGAAGAAUAUGUUUCCAAAGGAUAACGAGUUGCCCGCCAGUACGUACGAAGCAAAGAAGGUUGUCUGCCCUCUAGGUUUAGAGGUUCUGAAGAUACAUGCAUGCAUCAACGACUGCAUCCUCUACCGCGGUGAAUACGAGAAUUUGAAUGAAUGCCCGGUAUGCACUGCAUUGCGUUAUAAGAUCAGAGGCGAUGACCCUGGUGACGAUGUUGAGGGCCAGAAACCCGUACGAGGGGAGACUAAGUGGAAAAGGCACGAUCGGAAGGAAAUCAACGAUAUGUAUGGACGGCCAUUCUCUGACUGA
This 576-nucleotide ribosomal RNA is filed under the name Triticum aestivum (bread wheat). Its description in RNAcentral is "partial small subunit ribosomal RNA". The record is from RNAcentral. Lineage: Eukaryota; Viridiplantae; Streptophyta; Magnoliopsida; Poales; Poaceae.